RNAcentral lists this ribosomal RNA (440 nucleotides) under uncultured bacterium. RNAcentral describes it as "partial 16S ribosomal RNA". It matches the Rfam family "Bacterial small subunit ribosomal RNA", at positions 338 to 795 of the family's 1533-position model. The record is from RNAcentral.
CCUACGAGAGGCAGCAGUGGGGAAUAUUGCACAAUGGGGGAAACCCUGAUGCAGCGACGCCGCGUGAAGGAAGAAGUAUUUCGGUAUGUAAACUUCUAUCAGCAGGGAAGAAAAUGACGGUACCUGACUAAGAAGCCCCGGCUAACUACGUGCCAGCAGCCGCGGUAAUCCGUAGGGGGCAAGCGUUAUCCGGAUUUACUGGGUGUAAAGGGAGCGUAGGCGGUUUAGCAAGUCAGAAGUGAAAGCCCGGGGCUCAACUCCGGGACUGCUUUUGAAACUGUUGAACUAGAUUGCAGGAGAGGUAAGUGGAAUGCCUAGUGUAGCGGUGAAAUGCGGAGAUAUCAGGAGGAACACCGGUGGCGAAGGCGGCCUGCUGGACUGCGACUGACGUUGAGGCCCGAAAGCGUGGGGAGCAAACAGGAUUAGAUACCCCUGUAGUC